AGGUCAGAGGCUUGAGUCCGGAGGACGGUAAAUCCGUCGGCGUAGCCUUCGAAGGUUCGAAUCCUUCACCCGCCA
RNAcentral lists this transfer RNA (75 nucleotides) under Nocardioides zeae. RNAcentral's name for it is "tRNA-Tyr". Lineage: Bacteria; Bacillati; Actinomycetota; Actinomycetes; Propionibacteriales; Nocardioidaceae. The record is from RNAcentral.